This 8367-nucleotide long non-coding RNA is filed under the name Triticum aestivum (bread wheat). RNAcentral describes it as "long non-coding RNA (TAES_LNC007405)". The record is from RNAcentral. Lineage: Eukaryota; Viridiplantae; Streptophyta; Magnoliopsida; Poales; Poaceae.
UUCCAUCCUCAACCUCCUGUUCACAGGGGGGGCUGGACGCGCGUGCGGCGUCCAUACCGUGGAUGGCCACACGGCGACUAUCCGGCGAUGCCCCUGCGAGGAUAAAGCCACCCCGACCCCCCUCUGAACCCUAGGUCGACCUUUCCCCCCCUCCGUCACUCUUCUCCUUCGACUUCUUCGUCGCCCGAAGAAACCAUCGUCGUGAUGUCGUCGUCUUCGCGGCCAGGAGCUUCUCCGAGCCACGAUUGGGUGUCCAGGAGGUGCGCUGCAUCCAUCUACGUCGACUACAAGGAGCGAUUCAACUGGAAUCGCACUGCGCCCAUGCAUCGGCCGAUCUCCUUCGUCUACGGCCGCCGCACCUCGCCGCUCGAUCCGCCCGUCUUCGACCACCUCCGGCCUCCCCGACCUCGCCUUCGUGUUCAUUGUGAGCUCCUCCUCCAUUCCCCACUAAUUUCCGCCUCGAUUCGUCGGCGUAGCCAUCUUCCGCUUCCUUCCGUGGCCGCGCUCGGAGCUCUGCUCCCCCGUGCGCCUGCUCACGCUCGUGCUCACCUUGCACCGGCCGCGCCUCGCAGGCCUCCUGAUGGCGCCACAGUCGCGCCCCCUGCGCGUGCCCGGCGGCCUGUGCGUGUCCGCGUCCCCGCUGCUGCUCCUGUCGGCGCGCUGGUGCGCCAUGGCCUUACCCCGCUGCUGUGGCUGCUUGCUGCUGCGUAGUGCCGUUGCUUGCUGCUGUUCUUGCCGCUGCUCUUGCUGCUGCCCUCGUACUGCUCCUGCCGCUAGGUGCCCUUGCUGCUCGAGUUGUGCUGCUGCCACCAGGUGCCGCCGCUGCCUGCUGCUGCUGCUGGCCACGGCCAUGGCCGUUUGCGUCAGUGUGUGUGCGUGCGGUGUGUGUAGUUGUGUGUGUGUGUGAGCGCGUUGUGUGUGUGCGUAUGUGUGUGGAUGAGGCCGAUCCUAGUUAAGUAGGUUAGCUAAUUAGUAGUUAGGCUAAGUAGUGGUUAGGUAUAGGGUAAAUAACAUAUGGGACCAUCCUGGUUAAUUACCAUUUUAUUAGACGAAAGACAAUGACACAUGGGACCCACUUACACUAUUCAUGUGUUGGCCAGUCAACCUUUGACCGGGUCAACCCAACCCCAUUGGCCCCAUUGUCAUAAUCACAUGCUAGGGUAGCACUAGGUGACAAAAAUAUUUUCUGCUUUUAAUUCGAAUUAAAACAAUUUAAAAAAGAUAAAACUUUGAAAAUUAAUAUAAAAUAAACCGUAGCUCGGAUAGAAAAACUUUGUACAUGAAAGUUGCUCGUAACGACGAGACGAAUUCGAAUACACAACCCGUUCGUCCGCCACACAUCCCUAGCAUAUCGAACACGCAACUUUUCCCCUCCAAUUCAUCUGUCCGAAAACGCGAAACACCUGGAAUACUUUCCCGAAUGUUUCCCCCCUUCGUCGGUAUCACCUACUACCGCGUUAGGGCACACCUAGCACCGCGUAUUGCCAUGUUACGCUUUGUGAUGCUUUGAUUGCUUUGUUAUUUAUUGUGUUCCCCCUCCGCUACUUCUUUCCGGUAGACCCCGAGACUGCCAACGACCCCAGUUCGACUACACCGAAGAUGACCCCUCCUUCCCGGCUGAGCUUCCAGGCAAGCCCCCCCUUGAUCACCAGAUAUCGCCUAUUCUCCUCUAUACUGCUUGCAAUAGAGUAGUGUAGCAUGUUACUGCUUUCCGUUAAUCCUAUUCUGAUGCAUAGCCUGACAUUGUUGCUACAUUUGUUAAUACCUUACCUGCAAUCCUAAAUACUUAGUAUAGGAUGCUAGUUUAUCAUCUGUGGCCCUACAUUCUUGUCGGUCUGCCUUGCUAUACUAUCGGGCCGUGAUCACUUGGGAGGUGAUCACGGGUAUAUACUAUACAUAUAUACAUACUACAAAUGGGGACUAAAGUCGGGUCAGCUCGUUGAGUACCCGCAAGUGAUUCCGAUGUGGGGGCUGGAAGGACAGGUGGCUCCAUCCCGGUAGAGGUGGGCCUGGGCUCCCGACGGCCCCUGACUGUUACUUUGUGGCGGAGCGACAGGGCACGUUGAGACCACCUAGGCGAGAGGUGGGCCUGGCCCUGUUCGGCAGCCGCGGUUACUUCAUAAUAACACGCUUAACGAGAUCUUGGUAUUGGAUCUAAGUCUGGCCACUGGCCUAUACGCACUAACCAACUACACGGGAAACAUAUGGGCACUCGACGUCCUAGUAUCAGCCGAAGCCUUCGUGACGUCAGCGACUGAGCAGCGUGCGCCGGGUUGGACUGCGUUAACGCAACUUCCUUUAUAAUGGAGGUUGCUAGGUCUGCUUCCGGCCGUGUACGCAACGUGCAGGUGUGCAAUGGGCGAUGGGCCCAGACCCCUGCGCGCAUAGGAUUUAGACCGGCGUGCUGACCUCUCUGUUGUGCCUAGGUGGGGCUGCGACGUGUUGAUCUUCCGAGGCCGGGCAUGACCUAGGAAAGUGUGUCCGGCCAAAUGGGAUCGAGCGUGUUGGGUUAUGUGGUGCACCCCUGCAAGGAAGUUUAUCUAUUCGAAUAGCCGUGUCCCUCGGUAAAAGGACGACCCGGAGUUGUACCUUGACCUUAUGACAACUAGAACCGGAUACUUAAUAAAACACACCCAGAGAAGUUCCACAGACAACCCGGUGAUCGCUUUUCCAUAGGGCGACGAGGGGAGGAUCGCCGGGUAGGAUUAUGCUAUGCUAUGCUACUUGGAGGACUUCAAUCUACUCUCUUCUACAUGCUGCAAGACGGAGGCUGCCAGAAGCGUAGUCUUCGACAGGAUUAGCUAUCCCCCUCUUAUUCUGGCAUUCUGCAGUUCAGUCCACUGAUAUGGCCCUUUACACAUAUACCCAUGCAUAUGUAGUGUAGAUCCUUGCUUGCGAGUACUUUGGAUGAGUACUCACGGUUGCUUUGCUCCCUCCUUUUCCCCUGUAUCCUCUUCUUCUCGGAUGCUGCAACCAGACGUUGAAGCCCAGGAUCCAGACGCCACCGUCGACGACGACUACUACACUUGAGGAGCCUACUACUACGUGCAGGCCACUGACGACGACCAGGAGUAGUUAGGUGGAUCCCAGGCAGGAGGCAUGCGCCUCUUUCGAUCUGUAUCCCAGUUUGUGCUAGCCAUCUUAUGGCAACUUGUUAACUUAUGUCUGUACUCAGAUAUUGUUGCUUCCGCUGACUCGUUUAUGUACGAGCACUUGUAUUCGAGCCCUCGAGGCCCCUGGCUUGUAAUAUGAUGCUUGUAUGACUUAUUUUACUUUUAGAGUUGUGUUGUGAUAUCUUCCCGUGAGUCCCUGAUCUUGAUCGUACACAUUUGCGUGCAUGAUUAGUGUAUGAUUGAAUCGGGGGCGUCACAAGUUGGUAUCAGAGCCGACUGCCUGUAGGAAUCCCCCUUUCCAGCUCCUUGGCUGAAGUUGAGUCUAGUCGAUGAAAAUUGUUUUACUAACUUGGCUGUGCGGCCCAUGGGCCCACGUCGCCAAUUGGGUGGUAUUAGGAUCUUUUAUUCCUCGACCUAUACUCUGGGACUCUAAUCUCUCCUCUAUUCGGGUUAAAUGAUUCUAAAUCUGACUCUAGGUUCUCGUAACUACUUUCUCCCGGAGAGCCCCUAAUCACAUAUGAUCACCUACUGCGUCAGAAGAUUUCGAAGGUACUCUAGGAUGUUCUCCCGAGAUGCUUGUGCCCACCGCCUUUGCAAAUUCCCUACCACUGUUAUAUCCUUAUGGAUAACUGCAUGCACCUGCCAUUCUUACAUUCGAUCCCAUUGAGCUUGUUAUUACAAGGUGCAAUGAACUGCUCUUCGUUGUUCCAAGAAUCCUUUGAGCUUACUGCCUUACGGCUCUUUGCCACAAGAAUACCCAUAUGGAUAAUUCCUUGCACUUAUCGAGUAUCCGCUCCUUCUUAGUUGUUCAGGUGUUUCACAUAAGCCUUCGAACUAUUAUUUGAUCUUUCAAAAAUCCUCAACAGCCUAUUGUUCUUGAAAUUCUUGCUUGUUUGCAUUUUGGUUAAUCCCAUAAGCAUAAUAAUCUUAUUGGCAUCCUUUGUCACUAUCAUUUUUGAGUCCAUUAAUUCAAUAAGUUGUGAAUGUUCACAAUCAUCAGUCGAAUCCUAAGAUUAUCCUUCCGGCUCAAAUGACAUUUGGAUAUGAGCUGGUUCUUGACCAACAAAUGCCUUGAUCGGUUGUGCUUCUAAGCCUAUCGAACUUAUUCAUUUUCAAUCAGAACGAUUGCUUCUGAUCCCUUAAUUUGGAAAUAAUAAAAUUCUUUGCAUUAAGCUUUGAAUUAGUCAGUUGUUUCUACAAUCUGAUGCCUUGGCAUUCCUUCUUCCUCUGAUUGAGUACCGAUACUCACAUCAGCCCCGUUGUGGACCGCCAUACCCAUUACCGGGUUAUUAUCCGACAGUCUCCUUCACAACCAAAAUUCUUAUGAGUUCCUUACUCGAUACAUAAUACCUUUGGUAAAUUGUAUCCUCUACUUUUGUCAACCAUGCUCUACUUUUGAGCUUGUGUUAUUUACUCCCGAAGUUCAUGGUAUAUGUUCUAAGAAGCCCCGAUGGGUUGAACCUAUGCCUUCCUUAAUCUGUGUGAACUCGUAAGUUUUCACGGGUCAUACUCCUCUGGUAAUUCACCAGGUAGGUUUUGACACUGAAAUCAUUUUUAUCUAGAGCAGUGAAUGAAAGGUUAUGCAUUGAAGAAGUGGGAGUCGACCUUGAACUUUGUGUUCAUGCCCAUGAACAUGAUGUAGAUCCUAUCAUGGAAGCUACUCUUAAAUUAAUUAUUCCCUGGGUAUAAGUUCAUCUUAUAUCUGGGAUAUAGUCUUUUGCAAUCUUUGUUCCGGCCAUAUUGAUAUUCUUUGAUUCCUUUUCUCGGACAAGUUGAAGUACUUGUCUUCUGCAGAUCAUUACACCUAUCCAACCUCUAUUCUGCUCUACCUUUGAGUAUACCCUCUGGUAUCUCGAGAAUAUCACGGAACAACAUAACUUCUUAUGAGUUCUUCUUCAAGUAUUAUUUCACAUCGAUUUCAAUUUCGCCUGGGUUCUGAGUUGUUAGACACUCAAGGACACCGAUAAGUGAAUCAAUUCCGCACUCCGAUUCAAUAACUCUAAGUAAUCUUCGUUGCUUAUGAGCUUAUUAAUCCUUCAAGUCAUUCAUAGCCUGAUCGGCUAUAUCAAUAUCGUGCAACUUUUAAUUUUGCUACCUGGUCCUUCUUCUCGAAGCACAAUUUUCGACGAUGAGCUAAGCUUACGUCAACUUUCCUCGUCAUAUCAUUUUGCCUUGAAUAACAAGCUUGAUUCCGAGUGUCUGUCGUACCCGUGGUUUCAAUAACUUUUCGCUCCAUCCUUCCUUUUGCUUGAUGUCGUCGAUGAGCGAUAAUAUCUUAAUGAAACCUCUCAAUAAAUGUGCCAUGAUCAUCAUCAACAUUCUGAGCUCUUCAAGGAUAUUGAUCGAAUUCAUGUUGAGAAAUACCAUCCUUGCCCCUCGAUGAUUUGUGUUAUCAUCGACAACAUCCUUGUCUUCCCUCGACACAAAUGUGUUCUUGUUUGGGAUUGGAUCUUGAGUUCCUUGCUAUCCAGCAUUUGUUCUUCUUUACCUUGGAGUAUUACCAUCUUUUAUGUCAAGAAUGUCAUGAGGAUUACUCCACCUCUUAAGAAUUCUUGGUAUAGUGAUACUUCUCACCAUCACCAUUCUUUCUUGGUUCCCGUGUUGAUUCUAACCGGGGUACCAACAAGUGAACGGUGCUGUUUGGAUUCUGUACUUCUGGCAACCCUAAUGCUUUGAAGUUAAUGAUCGAUAGUUCAUUCUUAGACCAAUGGUUAUCGAAUUACCAUUCUAACCUUGAUCGUGCUAUCGAGCCCAUAUUUCGGGUGCAACUUUCAACCGAUGUUUAAAUAUGUAUGUUUUGCUCGAGCAUAAAUCAUUAUAUCAUUUGAUCUAACAAAUGAUAUCUCCUUGUUCACAUAAUUGUGGAAGUACAUCUUUUGGGAAUCUCGAUGAGUUGUCGCUGAGUCCAUCAGCCACCUCCUUAUCCUCUCCUUAGUUUAAUGAUGAACUCUCGUUUCGGAACUCACUCCCAUAGUUCAUUCCCCGAGUCUGAGAUAUCCUGACACCAAUCAGAUCUGAAUCUCGGUUAGGUAUGAUGAUUGGAACAUAUUUCCAAGAGUUAUAACAAUGGUCUUUAUGUGACCCGGUAAGGUGUUGUCGUGCCUAGCACACCUGGCCGGAGGCCUAUUGUUAUAGAUUCCUUUUCAGCAAGGUUAUCCAUUCUUCCAUGAGGAAACUGUAAGACUUAUUCUAUUAGUUUAUCCUGAUGGAUCCUUUGUGUAUCCAAAGUCUGACCUUUGCUUGAAGACCUUGUCAAUGCUAUCUCGAAGCAUGUCUGUGGUGCUCCGAUUUUCAAAAAGAACAUUUGAAGCCCAAUGCUAAAUAUUACUUGCUCAAUUAUCCAAACACCAUUGCAUUGGUAAUGUCAUGAAAUUUCUCUCCUCUCUCCUAAAGAGUUUUCUACAUUAUAUCCUGCCAAGGUUAUCAUGCUCUGCUUGUCCUUGGGAAGGGUAUACCCCUGAUAUAUGUGUUUAAACACAUUUUUCUUUCCAUUGUUCCAAUUACUCUGAUAAUCAUAUUUUCCUUUCCAUUGUUUGGUUUAACCUUUCUUGUGAGCUAUAUGAUCUAAGCGGUAAUAUUCUCCUGAUUAUGAACACACCUCGGUGUACAAUUCUGUCAGCAAGACGUUGUUGCUAUUGUUGAUGACAUUCCGGUAGCCACCGCUGGACGAGAACUUUGCCUAUUGGUCCGCAUCGUUCAACGAGCAGGAAAAUGGUUCUCUUCGUUCCCUCGCCCUUGGUACCGACGUUGUUGCCGACAUAGCUGGCAGUCUAUUCUCCGACAUGCCUUGCUAUCAUGAUCGAGCAUGAUGUCAUCGCUACUUCUACUUUUAACCCACAUGAUGGGCCCAUAACCCAUAGUUCCACAGGAUCGAAACCUGACUCUCUUAUACACCCCCUGUUGCCAAAGUUAUCCCUUAUGCUUGGCUUCGUAUGUAAUUCACGAGCUAAUUUCCCUGCCAUAUUUCAUUCCGGUAUCGGAUGCAACAUUUUUCUUCAUUGCUCUGAACCCCUUUCACACUCUGUUUCAGGCAACAAACGAUUGCCUGACCGCUUGAAACUUCCCAUGAUACCUCUUUACAUUGCUACCGAUAUUUUCUUAAGUUUCAAUUCGAGAGCUACUUUCCGCCACCUUCCCUGAUGUUAUCGACCAGAUAGUCAACCUUGUAGAGGUCUAUUCUCUCGGAAUACCCACCCCUUUAUUCUUUCGUAAGUACAAUGGAAUUCCCGAAGAAAGAAUGUCGACUUCAUCACGAUGACCUGAAGCAGAGAAAUGAAGACAUCAACGUAAUGGAUCGACCUCUUCGAGAAGAGCAACCAAGACCGAGAAGAUCCGUUAGAAUUUUGCAACCACAACUUUCCCCCUUACUCCACCGCUUAAAUCUCGGGACGAGAUUUCUUGUAGUGAAGGAGAUUUGUAACACCCCGGUAGUUGAGCUACAGUAACCUCACCCUAAUGGGCCAUGUCAUCGUGUUAAAUUAAGCCAAAUUGCCACUUGAUGAAGAUCAGAGUCAAAUUCAAAUUUCGAAAUACAAGACAAACUCUUAUUUCUUCAAACUGUCAAAUAAAAAUGUUCGAUAUGUUCCAAAUAUUCACUAACUAAUUUUCAUGUGGGAAUCAACAUUUAACAGAAUAUUAGAAUGCCCCUAAGCAUUUUAAAACUACUCCAGCAACAAUUAUAUGGGGCUUUCUACUUUAAAAUAAAUAUGAAUGCUUCUCAAAAUAAUUUGAAACUGCUGGUGCUAACUCAAUACCUUGCCUAUUAUUAUUGUGCUGAAUUGCAUACUUAACUAAAAUCAUUUGUUAGCUCAAUUAAAAAUAAAACUGUAGGAAACGGAUAAACAGAAUAAGGAAAAGGAGAAAUAAAAAGAAACCAAUAGACCUAAACCUACAUGACCACUUGGACAAACCAGCAGAAAGGAAAAGGCCCAGCCCAUCACCACUUCCAUCCUCAACCUGUUCACAGGGGGUGUGCUGGACGCGCGUGCGGCGUCCAUACCGUGGAUGGCCACACGGCGACUAUCCGACGAGGCCCCUGCAAGGAUAAAGCCACCCCGACCGCCCUCUGAACCCUAGGUCGACCUUUCCCCCCCUCCGUCACUCUUCUUCUUCGACUUCUUCGUCGCCCGAAGAAACCAUCGUCGUGAUGUCGUCGUCUUCGCGGCCAGGAGCUUCUCCGAGCCACGAUUGGGUGUCCAGGAGGUGCGCUGCAUCCAUCUACGUCGACUACAAGGAGCGAUUCAACUGGAAUCGC